CGUGUCUCUAGUGUCAGCAGCCGCGGUAAUACGGAGGGGGCGAGCGUUAUUCGGAAUUAUUGGGCGUAAAGGGCGCGUAGGCGGCUUGGCAAGUCAAAGGUGAAAUCCCUCGGCUCAACUGAGGAACUGCCUUUGAAACUGCCUGGCUUGAGGCCGGGAGGGGGUAGCGGAAUUCCCAGUGUAGCGGUGAAAUGCGUAGAUAUUGGGAGGAACACCAGUGGCGAAGGCGGCUACCUGGACCGGUUCUGACGCUGAUGCGCGAAAGCGUGGGUAGCAAACAGGAUUAGAUACCCUGGUAGUCCACGCUGUAAACGAUGGGGUGCUCGGUGUCGGCGGGUAUCCGACCCCUGCGGUGCCUUAGCU
This 363-nucleotide ribosomal RNA is filed under the name uncultured bacterium. RNAcentral describes it as "bacterial SSU rRNA". It matches the Rfam family "Bacterial small subunit ribosomal RNA", at positions 494 to 853 of the family's 1533-position model. The record is from RNAcentral.